Molecule: ribosomal RNA, 281 nt
Filed under: uncultured bacterium
Lineage: Bacteria
Description: partial 16S ribosomal RNA
Rfam family: Bacterial small subunit ribosomal RNA
Source: RNAcentral
AUUGAACGCUGGCGGCAUGCCUUACACAUGCAAGUCGAACGGUAACAGGUCUUCGGAUGCUGACGAGUGGCGAACGGGUGAGUAAUACAUCGGAACGUGCCCGAGAGUGGGGGAUAACGAGGCGAAAGCUUUGCUAAUACCGCAUACGAUCUCAGGAUGAAAGCAGGGGACCGCAAGGCCCUUGCGGCUCACGGAGCGGCCGAUGGCAGAUUAGGUAGUUGGUGAGGUAAAGGCUCACCAAGCCGACGAUCUGUAGCUGGUCUGAGAGGACGACCAGCCAC